This is a non-coding RNA of Mycena olivaceomarginata, 71 nucleotides long. Lineage: Eukaryota; Fungi; Basidiomycota; Agaricomycetes; Agaricales; Mycenaceae. The record is from the annotation of a GenBank genome assembly.
GCUUUCGUGGUGUAGCGGUAACAUUGGGUCUUCCCAUGGCCUAGCUCCGGGUUCGACUCCCGCCGGACGCA